Molecule: unclassified non-coding RNA, 1612 nt
Filed under: Leishmania donovani
Lineage: Eukaryota; Euglenozoa; Kinetoplastea; Trypanosomatida; Trypanosomatidae
Description: gene:LdHU3.31.1790(CDS-product:biotin/lipoate_pro tein_ligase-like_protein)
Source: RNAcentral
CCCUGUCUUGACCGCUUCGCACGGUAGGCUUGUACACAUCAAUCGUCUCGUAUCUCCGUUCCAUUCACACGCGAGUCUAUUAUCGCACGUCGAGAGCGCUUGCUAGCACGAAAAGUGACGAAAAAACAAAAGCAAAAACGCACGAGAGCGGCACCCUAUCGACAGCAAGGAGAACAAAGACAUACAAGUGGCACCACCUGCGACCAUGCCCGCGCACUUUCCACCCAACAUUCAUUUUCUCGAGGAGGUCACCUCCACGAUGGAUGUGGCCCGCACGAUGAGGGCGACCGCUGGUGGGAAGGCGUUUGCUGUCGUCGCGGCCGAGCAGACAGCCGGUCGUGGCACAGGCGGUCGCACGUGGACCUCGCCGAAGGGGAACCUCUACAUGACUUUUGGUGUACCUCAGCUGGGCCAACCACCAUGCCUCAAGGAGGAGCUAGUGCCCGUGUUGCCGCUCAUCUGCGGUCUUGCGUGCCGCCGCGCUGUGCUGGAGGUGCUUCAUCUGGAUAGGGUGUCGGCCAAGGCUUCGGUUGCUGCGGAUGCGGCCAAGGCCGUGUCGACCAAGUGGCCGAACGACAUCAUCUACAAUCACAAGAAGAUCGGCGGCACCCUAAUCGAGAACGAUGGGGACUACUUUAUCAUUGGCAUUGGUAUGAACAUCGCCGUGGCACCGCAGAUGACGGACGCUGGCCGAGAGGCAACGAUGAUCAACGCCAUUGCGGAGGAUUUCGGCGUCAAGUCGUGCACUCCGCGGGACCUCGCGAACGCGAUCUGGUGCCACUUCUUCGACAUCUGCACCUCGCCAGAGUGGACGCGCGAGUCGGUGAUUGAGAGUUUCGACAAGGUGAUGGAUAAGUCCUUGAAGCUGCACAAGCGGCUGCCGGGCGGCCGCGAUCCGGAGGAGCUGACGGCGGUUUCGCUGAACAGCUGGGGCCAUUUGAAGGUUCGCCACACCGACGGAACAUUAGAGGACUUGUCCGCGGAAUACCUGUUUUGAGCAGGUGCUGCGGGUACGGGGAUGGGCCGAGGAGCUGGUGAACGACAUCGACAGCUCGUCAGACGGUUAGCAUGCUGGCGUCUCUGACGUCUGUGACCGAUGUAGCAGUACGAGCUCCCGCUGCGAGCGGCUCCUCCUCGCCUGUGCCCGUCACGCUUUCCCACCAAGGUGUGAGGCACUCGGUGCAGCCCCAGAACUUGGAUAGUGAAGGGAGGACACGCUGCGGCAUGCAUGGUGCAGCAGACUCAAAAGUACGCGCCGGAGCACCACAACAAGCGCUAUAGAGUGCUCCACCUUCCUGUGCAUUCCCUUUGAAGCGCUGCGCCCUUCCAUUCGUGACGAGGAGCACCUCACUGCCGUGAGCGACAUCCAGGGCCCUCAGCAAACGUGGAUAAACACUUCUACUCGGAGUUCCUCGCUUGAGCGCUAGGUGACAACGAGCAGAACGCACAAGGAAAAAACCUAAGGUGGCAAAGGAGUUAGCUAAACUCUCAUCACGGGCACUUGAGCAGCACGUGCGUAUCCAGUAAUCAUGUCGCCUUGCAAUGUGCUCCUCGCUAGACGUGGCUGAGACUAGCCUUUUUUCGCAUUUUUCAACGCCUCCAUUGCGCCUCU